RNAcentral lists this ribosomal RNA (497 nucleotides) under uncultured bacterium. RNAcentral's name for it is "partial 16S ribosomal RNA". It matches the Rfam family "Bacterial small subunit ribosomal RNA", at positions 28 to 507 of the family's 1533-position model. The record is from RNAcentral.
GAUGAACGCUGGCGGCGUGCCUAAUACAUGCAAGUCGAGCGAACGGACGAGAAGCUUGCUUCUCUGAUGUUAGCGGCGGACGGGAGAGUAACACGUGGAUAACCUACCUAUAAGACUGGGAUAACUUCGGGAAACCGGAGCUAAUACCGGAUAAUAUUUUGAACCGCAUGGUUCAAAAGUGAAAGACGGUCUUGCUGUCACUUAUAGAUGGAUCCGCGCUGCAUUAGCUAGUUGGUAAGGUAACGGCUUACCAAGGCAACGAUGCAUAGCCGACCUGAGAGGGUGAUCGGCCACACUGGAACUGAGACACGGUCCUGACUCCUACGGGAGGCAGCAGUAUGGAAUCUUCCGCAAUGGGCGGAAGCCUUACGGAGCAACGCCGCGUGAGUGAUGAAGGUCUUCGGAUCGUAAAACUCUGUUAUUAGGGAAGAACAUAUGUGUAAGUAACUGUGCACAGCUUGACGGUACCUAAUCAGAAAGCCACGGCUAACUACGUG